This is a long non-coding RNA of Gadus morhua (Atlantic cod), 1557 nucleotides long. The record is from Ensembl. NCBI's taxonomy places the organism in Eukaryota, Metazoa, Chordata, Actinopteri, Gadiformes, Gadidae.
GGGGAGAAGGGACAGGCUGGGGCCAAUGGCAAAGACGGCAGUAAAGGGGAACUGGGUGCUCCAGGAUUACCCGGAACCAAAGUCCUGGUGACUCCAGAGGGUGCCACCGUUGAAGAGAUCCGCCAGGCCUUCCCGAUGCCGAUGGGUCCCCCCGGAGUCACUGUGGGUUACCGCGUCUCCCUACCUUCACGUUGUCUCCACCCAUAUCCUCUUCUCUUUACUCACCCAGCGGCCAUCUGGGCUGCCCAGCGGCGGUACCGAGCCAAGAUGGCCGCCUGUUGACAACCACAACGAUGUUGUAUGUGGUUUGAUGCUGCUUCUUGGCCAGGUCUCUCUUGAAAACCUGGUUAUUAAUCAGAAUGAGACUUUACCUGCUUCAAUUAAUUUUAAUAAGAGAUGGCCGCUAGGUGGAUAAGGGCCAUUAUCUUGGCUACGGCAUGUAUGAGUCAUAUUUGAUUGCAUGCACAGAGUGACAUCUGAGUCCUUUUGUGUUUAAAAAGAGAACUAUGGAACUCUUUUCAAACACUGAAAACACAUUUCUGGCGACGCACUCCAAUGUUCAACGUUGUGGGUCCCCAAGCAUGUGGUGUUGUGCUUCGUCCUUUGCUUUGUUGCAUUCUCUAAUGCAGGCUUCUGUGCCUUCGUGUGUGUGUGUGUGUGAUUCUAGGGUGCACCGGGAAUGAAGGUAAUUACUAUGAAGGGCGACAUUUUUAAUGCAAGGAAAAGUUAAACGAUGAACAAGGACAUGAAUGCAUUGUUGACUUUAUGGAGUUUACAGAAAGUGUUUUGUUUCCGCAGGGCGAAACAGGGGUGCAAGGUUUGAAAGGAGACCGGGGUGAUGUGGGGCCCCCCGGCAAGGCCAUUCAGAUGAAGGACAUUGAAGCCAUGUUCGAAGCCUAUGGAAUCAGGCUGCCCCUGCUCAAGGCCCUGGUGGACCACCUGCUGCAGGACGGAGUGGAGGAGCUGCUGCACGUGCUCAGCUCCACCAAGAGGCUCCAGGAGGUCAAGGAGACGCACGGCUCCAACGCCAUCCCUGAAUACACAAACUCUCUGGAGUAUGAGCUGAGCAGCCAGCCCCUGACGAAGGAGGGGUACCUGCCCGAUGUGGACGGACAGACGCCCCCGCCCGCCCCUGCUGACGUGCUCAACGGAACCACGGUGGGCCAAAGUACAUCAUGGGAGCUGUCGGGGGCGGACCGGGCCCCGGAGCCCAACGUCACCCAGAGCCGGCCCGACGGCCCCGGGCUGCAGGGCCGUCUGGAGGGCAACGUCAGCGCUGAUACCCCCCGGCUCCAGAUGAACCUGACCCUGGUCAACGCUCCGUCCAACGACAGUACAUCCAAGGAGGUGGGGCAGGACAACAUCAGGAGGGAGGAUAUAGAACACCUGACCGCGCCAACAUCAGAACACCACGUUGAGCUGCUUGAAAGUAGACUUUUAUUGAACCAGAGUGGUGUCAUUGAGAUUAAUAAUUUAUUUUGCAAGAGAGACCUGGCCAAGACAGCAGCACGAUGUUGCAAACACAGGUUACUACAUUUAACAGAAACUGGAAGAUAG